UCCCAGACUCCUACGGGAGGCAGCAGUGGGGAAUAUUGCACAAUGGGGGGAACCCUGAUGCAGCGACGCCGCGUGAAGGAAGAAGUAUUUCGGUAUGUAAACUUCUAUCAGCAGGGAAGAAAAUGACGGUACCUGACUAAGAAGCCCCGGCUAACUACGUGCCAGCAGCCGCGGUAAUACGUAGGGGGCAAGCGUUAUCCGGAUUUACUGGGUGUAAAGGGAGCGUAGGCGGCGAUGCAAGUCAGAAGUGAAAGCCCGGGGCUCAACUCCGGGACUGCUUUUGAAACUGUGUUGCUAGAGUGCAGGAGAGGUAAGUGGAAUUCCUAGUGUAGCGGUGAAAUGCGUAGAUAUUAGGAGGAACACCAGUGGCGAAGGCGGCUUACUGGACUGUAAAUGACGCUGAGGCUCGAAAGCGUGGGGAGCAAACAGGAUUAGAUACCCCCGUAUU
RNAcentral lists this ribosomal RNA (448 nucleotides) under uncultured bacterium. RNAcentral describes it as "bacterial SSU rRNA". It matches the Rfam family "Bacterial small subunit ribosomal RNA", at positions 329 to 794 of the family's 1533-position model. The record is from RNAcentral.